RNAcentral lists this ribosomal RNA (429 nucleotides) under Tylopilus violatinctus. RNAcentral describes it as "SSU rRNA". It matches the Rfam family "Bacterial small subunit ribosomal RNA", at positions 487 to 962 of the family's 1533-position model. Lineage: Eukaryota; Fungi; Basidiomycota; Agaricomycetes; Boletales; Boletaceae. The record is from RNAcentral.
UAAGUGUCGUCUAAAUUUGGUGCCAGAAGACUCGGUAAGACCUUAGACACAAACGUUAAUCAUCAUAAUCAGGCGUAAAGGGUCUGUAGGCGGUUCAAAAGAACUAGAAUCUAAAAGAGGAUAAGCUAAACAACAUAAUUAAUUAGGACUGACAACUUAUAAUAAUGUGGAGUACUAAAGGUUAAAACUAUUUAUCUACUUAAGAUUGACGCUCAGAAACGAAGGGGAGAAUAAGAAACUUAGAUUAGAGACCUAAUUAUCUCUCUCAGUCAACGAUGAAUGGUAGUUAUUAAAUUAAAUUAAAAAUUAGUAACGAGGUUAACACGAUGACCAUUCCGCCUUGUUAGUAAGACUGCAAAGUUGAAAACAAAAAAAUUAGUCGGUCUUGAAGCAAACGAAGUGAAGCAUGUUAUUUAAUUCAUAAUCCGC